GGGGGCGUGGCUCAAUUGGCACAGCAAGAGCUUUGCAAGUUCUCAUUUAGGGGUUCGAGUCCCCUCGCUUCCA
RNAcentral lists this transfer RNA (73 nucleotides) under Saprospiraceae bacterium. RNAcentral's name for it is "tRNA-Ala". It matches the Rfam family "tRNA". From Rfam's summary of the family: Transfer RNA (tRNA) molecules are approximately 80 nucleotides in length. The record is from RNAcentral. Lineage: Bacteria; Pseudomonadati; Bacteroidota; Saprospiria; Saprospirales; Saprospiraceae.